RNAcentral lists this ribosomal RNA (226 nucleotides) under uncultured bacterium. RNAcentral's name for it is "partial 16S ribosomal RNA". It matches the Rfam family "Bacterial small subunit ribosomal RNA", at positions 355 to 571 of the family's 1533-position model. The record is from RNAcentral.
UAGGGAAUCUUCGGCAAUGGGGGCAACCCUGACCGAGCAACGCCGCGUGAGUGAAGAAGGUUUUCGGAUCGUAAAGCNCUGUUGUAAGUCAAGAACGGGUGUGAGAGUGGAAAGUUCACACUGUGACGGUAGCUUACCAGAAAGGGACGGCUAACUACGUGCCAGCAGCCGCGGUAAUACGUAGGUCCCCGAGCGUUGUCCGGAUUUAUUGGGCGUAAAGCGAGCG